Long non-coding RNA from Equus caballus (horse), 2111 nucleotides. The record is from Ensembl. NCBI's taxonomy places the organism in Eukaryota, Metazoa, Chordata, Mammalia, Perissodactyla, Equidae.
CCUGUCAUCUUGCUGGUGAUUUCCACCUCAGCUUCCAAACAACGCUGUGGGUUGGAAAGCUCUCUGGGGCCUGUACCUGGUCCAGGACGGUCAGCAGCAUCCCUGGCUUCUACCAACUGGACACGCUGGUCCUGCCUGACCCCCAGGAUUGACACCCCAAAGUUUCUCUGUUUGUUGCCAGAAUCACCCCGGGGCUGAGAACCCCUGGGCUGGUUCCUGCCACCAGUGUGUGUACAAAGAGCCCAGGGCCUCAGUCCAGUUUCUGUCCCAUCCUCUCUGCCUCCUCGUCCCUUCCCAGUCCCUUCCCAGCAGGGUCCACCCACCUCUGAGCGACCUGGCCCUGCCCUCCUCUGAAAAUCCUCCCGGACGAAGCUUUACUGUUGGCAGAAGCUCCCAAGGAAGGGAGGAGGGCCAACAAAGGCCGAGGGGGCCCCCAGCCCCUCCCAGCUUCCUCCCUCCCUGGCCACAAGGACACGAGGCCCGGAGGGACAGACAGACAGACAGAUAGGGAGGCUCAGGGUGGACUCUUGUUGUCUGAGCUGGACCUCAGAGUCACUUCUCCUCCCUGUAUAAUGCAACUCGAACUCAACCCCCUUGCUCACAAACCUUCUAUGGCUCCCCAUUGCCUCCCCGGCUGGACCCUGGGGCUCUCGCUCACCUCUCCAGCCUUGUCUCCCACCACUCCUUUGCCCACACCCCCGCCGAACCACACAACCUCUCCAGACACCCCCGGGUGGCUCCCCUCCCUGCCUGCCCUGUCUGAACCUUCGAGCUCCAGGGCCACAGUCACUGACCCUCAGCUCCAGCACACAGUGGAUUUUCCCUCACCCAGGUCCCCAGUGCACUUCCAGCUCCCGCCCCCACCCUCUCACUGUUUGGGGGACAUCUGGAUGCCUGACAAGUCCUCCCCACAAGACUGUGAGCUCCCUGGGGCCAGGGGCUGUGUCUGAGUCACCUCCUACACGUCCCCGGAGCCAAGCAGAGCCGGCAAUGGAGAAAGUGCCCAAGGAUGCUGUUGGAAGGGGCAGUCUGGAACAUCCGUCGUUGCCAUAUCCAUGAGUGAGGGGGAAGCUGCAACAUCAGCCUGCGUGACAGAGGAGGAGCCUGAGGUCAGGGAGACACAGAGACAAGCCCAAGAUCACGCAGUAAGCAGAGCGCCCCCUGAGCCAAGGGUCGGACCCUGCUGCCUCCAUCUGCCCUGGAGCCCUUGAUCCCACUUCUCCUGGGGGCUGGUCCCACUGACAUGGGCACUGGGUCAUGACCGGGGCGGGGGGUCACGCCUGGGGCCUGGCAGGCACCAGCAUGGCCAUGCCCCACCCCCUGCCUGCCCGUGGCCGCAGCACAAGCUAGCCAUUCUUGGCAAGACAAAGGCCGGCUGGGGCAGAGCGGGUCUGGUGUCUCCCCGGUGGGUGUCUGGCCUCUGCAGGACGUCAGUAAUGGGUUCUGGUGGCCAGUGCUCUGCUCCUGGGGGCUGCAAAUCAGAUUAGUCCAGCCCCAGUCCAGCCCUGAGCCACCAGGAAGAGACGCAGCUGCCAGGCCUGGGCCUGCCGCCCUCCGGGGGUGCACAAACCCUGGCCCCGAGAGACCCCCAACCUUGCUGUGGGGUCCAGGUCAUGCCUCUUCUCCUCUCUGGACUCCCACGGCCAAUCUGCAAGACCAACAGGUUGAGUGUGACCUUUUGAGGCCUUCUUGAGGUGGUGUUUGGAAAUGCUGCCAGUGCAAGGCGAGUGCACAGCGUAUGGUCAUCGAGAACUGCCUCGGGCGUCAGCCUCUGCCACCCAUCACAGCCCUGUCCUCAGGCCCAACCCCCAUGCCAGCCCAGAGUUCAGUAAGCCACCCUACCGGCCCUCUUACCCCCUGAGACCUACCUUCCCCAGGGCUGGGUGCUUGGGACAGGGAGGGAGGGGAGCACUCAUUCCCUUGAGCCUCACAUGUCUACGUCUACCCAUCCAUCCACUCUAUCUGUCCAUCCAUCCCUCCACUCGUCCGUCCGUCCGUCCAUCCAUCCAUCCAUCCAUCCAUUCACCCACCCCAUCUGUCCAUCCAUCCAUCUACCCCAUCCAGCCACUCAUCCAUUCAUCUAUCCAUCCAUUUAUCCAUUCAUUCAUCCA